UAUUUGAUGGAGAGUUUGAUUCUGGCUCAGAACGAACGCUGGCGGCGUGGAUAAGACAUGCAAGUCGAACGGGAGAAUUGCUAGCUUGCUAAUAAUUCUCUAGUGGCGCACGGGUGAGUAACACGUGAGUAACCUGCCCCCAAGAGUGGGAUAGCCCCGGGAAACUGGGAUUAAUACCGCAUAAAAUCGCAAGAUUAAAGCAGCAAUGCGCUUGGGGAUGGGCUCGCGUCCUAUUAGUUAGUUGGUGAGGUAACGGCUCACCAAGGCGAUGACGGGUAGCCGGUCUGAGAGGAUGUCCGGCCACACUGGAACUGAGACACGGUCCAGACACCUACGGGUGGCAGCAGUCGAGAAUCAUUCACAAUGGGGGAAACCCUGAUGGUGCGACGCCGCGUGGGGGAAUGAAGGUCUUCGGAUUGUAAACCCCUGUCAUGUGGGAGCAAAUUAAAAAGAUAGUACCACAAGAGGAAGAGACGGCUAACUCUGUGCCAGCAGCCGCGGUAAUACAGAGGUCUCAAGCGUUGUUCGGAAUCACUGGGCGUAAAGCGUGCGUAGGCGGUUUCGUAAGUCGUGUGUGAAAGGCGGGGGCUCAACCCCCGGACUGCACAUGAUACUGCGAGACUAGAGUAAUGGAGGGGGAACCGGAAUUCUCGGUGUAGCAGUGAAAUGCGUAGAUAUCGAGAGGAACACUCGUGGCGAAGGCGGGUUCCUGGACAUUAACUGACGCUGAGGCACGAAGGCCAGGGGAGCGAAAGGGAUUAGAUACCCCUGUAGUCCUGGCAGUAAACGGUGCACGCUUGGUGUGCGGGGAAUCGACCCCCUGCGUGCCGGAGCUAACGCGUUAAGCGUGCCGCCUGGGGAGUACGGUCGCAAGAUUAAAACUCAAAGAAAUUGACGGGGACCCGCACAAGCGGUGGAGUAUGUGGCUUAAUUCGAUGCAACGCGAAGAACCUUACCUGGGCUUGACAUGUAAUGAACAACAUGUGAAAGCAUGCGACUCUUCGGAGGCGUUACACAGGUGCUGCAUGGCCGUCGUCAGCUCGUGUCGUGAGAUGUUUGGUUAAGUCCAGCAACGAGCGCAACCCCUGUUGCCAGUUACCAGCACGUAAAGGUGGGGACUCUGGCGAGACUGCCCAGAUCAACUGGGAGGAAGGUGGGGACGACGUCAGGUCAGUAUGGCCCUUAUGCCCAGGGCUGCACACGUACUACAAUGCCCAGUACAGAGGGGGCCGAAGCCGCGAGGCGGAGGAAAUCCUAAAAACUGGGCCCAGUUCGGACUGUAGGCUGCAACCCGCCUACACGAAGCCGGAAUCGCUAGUAAUGGCGCAUCAGCUACGGCGCCGUGAAUACGUUCCCGGGUCUUGUACACACCGCCCGUCACAUCAUGGAAGCCGGUCGCACCCGAAGUAUCUGAAGCCAACCGCAAGGAGGCAGGGUCCUAAGGUGAGACUGGUAACUGGGAUGAAGUCGUAACAAGGUAGCCGUAGGGGAACCUGCGGCUGGAUCACCUCCUUUCUA
Molecule: ribosomal RNA, 1518 nt
Filed under: Akkermansia muciniphila
Lineage: Bacteria; Pseudomonadati; Verrucomicrobiota; Verrucomicrobiia; Verrucomicrobiales; Akkermansiaceae
Description: bacterial SSU rRNA
Rfam family: Bacterial small subunit ribosomal RNA
Source: RNAcentral